RNAcentral lists this transfer RNA (126 nucleotides) under Planctomycetota bacterium. RNAcentral describes it as "tRNA-Met". The stretch from base 47 to 123 matches the Rfam family "tRNA". Rfam says of the family: Transfer RNA (tRNA) molecules are approximately 80 nucleotides in length. Their secondary structure includes four short double-helical elements and three loops (D, anti-codon, and T loops). Further hydrogen bonds mediate the characteristic L-shaped molecular structure. tRNAs have two regions of fundamental functional importance: the anti-codon, which is responsible for specific mRNA codon recognition, and the 3' end, to which the tRNAs corresponding amino acid is attached (by aminoacyl-tRNA synthetases). tRNAs cope with the degeneracy of the genetic code in two manners: having more than one tRNA (with a specific anti-codon) for a particular amino acid; and 'wobble' base-pairing, i.e. permitting non-standard base-pairing at the 3rd anti-codon position. Lineage: Bacteria; Pseudomonadati; Planctomycetota. The record is from RNAcentral.
GGCGGGGGCGAAGGAGGUCGCAGAGGCCGUCGAGAUGAUGGAGGCGAUGGAGGUUGAUUCUGAGAGACCCGGCUCGUCGGGCUCAUAACCCGGAGGUCGCAGGUUCGAAUCCUGCCCCCGCUACCA